Molecule: ribosomal RNA, 301 nt
Filed under: uncultured bacterium
Lineage: Bacteria
Description: partial 16S ribosomal RNA
Rfam family: Bacterial small subunit ribosomal RNA
Source: RNAcentral
CAGUCGCCGCGGUAAUACGUAGGUGGCAAGCGUUGUCCGGAAUUAUUGGGCGUAAAGGGCUCGCAGGCGGUUUCUUAAGUCUGAUGUGAAAGCCCCCGGCUCAACCGGGGAGGGUCAUUGGAAACUGGGAAACUUGAGUGCAGAAGAGGAGAGUGGAAUUCCACGUGUAGCGGUGAAAUGCGUAGAGAUGUGGAGGAACACCAGUGGCGAAGGCGACUUUCUGGUCUGUAACUGACGCUGAUGUGCGAAAGCGUGGGGAUCAAACAGGAUUAGAUACCCCUGUAGUCCCUGUCUCUUAUAA